AUAAUAGCGAAGACGGAGAGAGAUUGCAGACGCGAUUCCCCAGAGAGCCGGUGGUUGCUGCGAACCGGUGAAUCCCCUGCUUUUUGAGCGCUCCCGAGCUGUCAGGCUGAACCGGAAGAAGUAGGCCUGAACGGAAGCCCCGUUACGGGCAACGGUCCGCUCGAUUAGGACCGGUAGAGGCCGCUGUUGCGAGACAGUGGCGAAUGAGGGUGGUACCGCGAAAUCAAGCCUUUCGUCCCUCAC
This 243-nucleotide non-coding RNA is filed under the name Aneurinibacillus migulanus. RNAcentral describes it as "T-box sequence". It matches the Rfam family "T-box leader". From Rfam's summary of the family: Uncharged tRNA acts as the effector for transcription antitermination of genes in the T-box leader family. T-boxes are found upstream of many aminoacyl-tRNA synthetase genes and some amino acid biosynthetic genes usually in Gram-positive bacteria. The anticodon of a specific tRNA base pairs to a specifier sequence within the T-box motif, and the NCCA acceptor tail of the tRNA base pairs to a conserved bulge in the T-box antiterminator hairpin. The record is from RNAcentral. Lineage: Bacteria; Bacillati; Bacillota; Bacilli; Caryophanales; Paenibacillaceae.